UACGAAGGGGGCUAGCGUUGUUCGGAAUUACUGGGCGUAAAGCGCACGUAGGCGGAUAUUUAAGUCAGGGGUGAAAUCCCAGAGCUCAACUCUGGAACUGCCUUUGAUACUGGGUAUCUAGAGUAUGGAAGAGGUGAGUGGAAUUCCGAGUGUAGAGGUGAAAUUCGUAGAUAUUCGGAGGAACACCAGUGGCGAAGGCGGCUCACUGGUCCAUUACUGACGCUGAGGUGCGAAAGCGUGGGGAGCAAACAGG
RNAcentral lists this ribosomal RNA (253 nucleotides) under uncultured bacterium. RNAcentral describes it as "partial 16S ribosomal RNA". It matches the Rfam family "Bacterial small subunit ribosomal RNA", at positions 524 to 776 of the family's 1533-position model. The record is from RNAcentral.